Homarus americanus (American lobster) is the source of this 826-nucleotide long non-coding RNA. RefSeq lists it as uncharacterized. Lineage: Eukaryota; Metazoa; Arthropoda; Malacostraca; Decapoda; Nephropidae. The transcript has 4 exons. The record is from RefSeq and is a predicted model, not a curated record.
AUGAAUUGAAAGAGAAGGUAAGAGUGUUGUUGAAGCUGAUAUAAACACACUGUGAAAAUUAUGAGGGGUAAUAUUUCACUUUUCUUCUUGCCAUGCUGAAGUAAACGUCACGGCUUUCUAAUAACUUGAUAUACCGCUAUUAUGGUCCACGACAGGCAGUCAAGGGAAAGUGAGAGAGAGAGAGAGAGUGAGGGAGAGACAAAGAGAGAGAUAGAGAGAAAAGACGGAGAGAAACAAACAGACAAAAACUGGUACUAGAAACGUAGGAAAGAGAGAAAGUCAUAAGUGUGAAAAAGUCUUAUUUUCCAGGUAAUGAAUACAGCCGCUAGAUGGAGUGCUGGAACAUGUCGCACAGUAAAGGGAGGAAGUGUCCAGUCUUGCUAAACGGUUCUAGACCACGGCAGCCAUUCAGCAUCAACAAAUGAAGAGGCAGCUGGGCCAGGUGUAGUGAAGAUGGCAGGCGUCAGGUGGUGCAGGUUGUGUUGACCAGCGAGGUUUGCCAAGUCGUCUCCUCCAAUGGGGUAAGGUGGAUGGUGGACCUGUUCCUGUCAAGACUCUGGUAAUGUGUGGACGUGAGUAGGAUGGUGGGAUACAUCAGAAACUGGCGGCUUGUUACGUGGUUUCAUUGGACACAUUGAGCUGCAGUUCGUCUCUGAUACCAACGGCUUUUGUGAAGGGAUUUUCUUCUGCUGCCAGCCGAAUGCACUCGUCUUCCUGGGCAAGAUACUCGAUGGGGAUGACAGAUGCUUUGGAUUUGACUCCUGAGUUUGACUGAAGACGUGCUGAACUGGAAAUGGCAGAGACAGGACUUUGAAGGGUUCGUUAG